RNAcentral lists this ribosomal RNA (252 nucleotides) under uncultured bacterium. Its description in RNAcentral is "partial 16S ribosomal RNA". It matches the Rfam family "Bacterial small subunit ribosomal RNA", at positions 524 to 776 of the family's 1533-position model. The record is from RNAcentral.
UACGUAGGGGGCAAGCGUUGUCCGGAAUUAUUGGGCGUAAAGCGCGCGCAGGCGGUUCUUUAAGUCUGGUGUUUAAACCCGAGGCUCAACUUCGGGUCGCACUGGAAACUGGGGGACUUGAGUGCAGAAGAGGAGAGUGGAAUUCCACGUGUAGCGGUGAAAUGCGUAGAUAUGUGGAGGACACCAGUGGCGAAGGCGACUCUCUGGGCUGUAACUGACGCUGAGGCCGCGAAAGCGUGGGGAGCAAACAGG